GACGAACGCUGGCGGCGUGCUUAACACAUGCAAGUCGAACGGAAAGGCCCUGCUUUUGUGGGGUGCUCGAGUGGCGAACGGGUGAGUAACACGUGAGUAACCUGCCCUUGACUUUGGGAUAACUUCAGGAAACUGGGGCUAAUACCGGAUAGGAGCUCCUGCUGCAUGGUGGGGGUUGGAAAGUUUCGGCGGUUGGGGAUGGACUCGCGGCUUAUCAGCUUGUUGGUGGGGUAGUGGCUUACCAAGGCUUUGACGGGUAGCCGGCCUGCGAGGGUGACCGGCCACAUUGGAACUGAGAUACGGCCCAGACUCCUACGGGAGGCAGCAGUGGGGAAUAUUGCACAAUGGGCGGAAGCCUGAUGCAGCAACUCCGCGUGCGGGAUGACGGCCUUCGGGUUGUAAACCGCUUUCGCCUGUGACGAAGCGUGAGUGACGGUAAUGGGUAAAGAAGCACCGGCUAACUACGUG
This 468-nucleotide ribosomal RNA is filed under the name uncultured bacterium. Its description in RNAcentral is "partial 16S ribosomal RNA". It matches the Rfam family "Bacterial small subunit ribosomal RNA", at positions 28 to 507 of the family's 1533-position model. The record is from RNAcentral.